Long non-coding RNA from Astyanax mexicanus (Mexican tetra), 2511 nucleotides. RefSeq lists it as uncharacterized. The record is from RefSeq and is a predicted model, not a curated record. NCBI's taxonomy places the organism in Eukaryota, Metazoa, Chordata, Actinopteri, Characiformes, Acestrorhamphidae. The transcript has 3 exons.
GGAAAUAAAAAGCUUUGUUUCAUACUCAUCUUUUAUCUUCAAACCCAAAUGUUUUUUUCAUUCUACAGUAAAAAUAAAGGGAUUGUCCUCACUGUUUUUGUACUUUUGGAGGGAACUGAUGUGUAAUAAGGCAUAAGAACUUGUUUCUGGGAAGGGAAUAAAAAUGUGGUAAUAUUUAAGGGCCUUAUUUACACUCCUGACUGGGCUGGGGGUGGGGUAAUAAUGAGAUUUUUGAGUUUUGUUGAGGGUGAAGAGCCGCUCUUGGUCAGCAACUUCACCUGUAAACUAGCUUAGCUUAGCUACAGACAAUAAAUAGCCACCACAAUAUCCUCCACUCUUCUCUCACAGUAAAAGAGAUGGUCAAAAUUAUGAUGCAACUAUUCGUAAUGCUGUGUGGUUGUUUGCAAUCUAUCCAGAAGAGGAAGAAGCAGAAGAUGAGCUGAGGAGAUUCAACUUUGCUGCCCGAGUCUGGCAGCGCUGUCGUCCUGUGAGCUGCUGUCAACAAGCUGCACUUUUAUUCUUUCCACCGAGCCGCCCACCAUACCGACCAGUCUACAGAACACCAUAUCACCCAGUCCACAGGACACCCAGCUGCCAGAGCCCUGAGAGAGCACAACUGGCCUGGUGUGAAGGUUCAAUUAUCAGGUGUAUGGGUGACAUACCAGAGUUCAAAAGAGGACAAAUUGUUGGUGCACGUCUUGCUGGAGCAUGUGUGACCAAGACAGCAAGUCUUUGUGAUGCAUCAAGAGCCACGAUAUCCAGGGUAAUGUCAGCAUACCACCAAGAAGGACCAACCACAUCCAACAGGAUUAACUGUGGACACUGUAAGAGGAAGCUGUCUGAAAGGGAUGUUCGGGUGCUAACGCGGAUUGUAUCCAAAAAAACCUAAAACCACGGCUGAUCAAAUCACGGCAGAAUUCAAUGUGCACCUCAACUCUCCUGUUUCCACCAGAACUGUCCGUCGCUGCACCUCUAGUGUAUCGGUUUCGUCUUCAGCAGACAUGCAGGUAAAAAUAUCAGACCACAAUCCCCGCACUAGUGCACACAGUACAAACCCGCUGCUCAUUACUGUCUCACUUCUGCCCAAAAGUCUGGCAGCAAAGCCCAUCAGAGCAUCGCCAGAUACCUUCAGCUUCUCCUGCACUCCUGUCACACCUCACAGCCUUCCACCACCCACCACCUUCACCUCCUCACACCACUCACUUCCAUUAGACUCACCACAUUCUCACUACUUUCUGUUUCACGAGACAGUAAAGGAACACGGUGCUAACCGUACUGUUAAACACGGUCUUACAUUCUCCCUGACCUGCACCUCCUCACCUCGCACCUCGUCCUGCCCGUCAAUUAGCCAUAAUAGCUUUCCUAUUUUUCCCUCCAGCCAAUUAUGGCGUCAGACAGCCCUGCUCUCGCUGAUUCCCACACACCCACAUGCUGAGUAACUGCUACAAGAAAGUGCGCCCAAAAUAGAACUGCCAUGUUCCAAUGCAGCAGCGCUCCUCGCCAUUCAGAAACUCUACCAGUAAUAAAACCCAAAAAUAAAUAAAGAAAUUCAACACACUGCCUGCCUCGGCUUCAGCAAACAGGAUGCUGAAACCUGUUGUCCACACUGAGAGCUUUUACACCAGGGACGUAAGAAAAUAUCGAAAUAUCAAAGUAUAGCAAUACGGUUUUGAUUUUAAAACUAAACUAUUGUUUAGUUCUCCAGCACAGAGACUGGAGACUGGAGUAGUAUUAGCAUUAGCUGCUAACUGAGCUAAGUGCUAGCUCUUUUGCUGUUCAGAGGUGAGUAUAGUCAGCCUGUAGACUGCUGCUAACCCAGCUAGUACUGCUGGUGCAGCAUUAGCAUUAGCCGCUAGCCGUGCUAAGCACUAGUUAGCUCUUUUCGUUCCGUUCAGAGGUAAGUAUAUCGAACUGUAGCCUUCCUGUUUACCGUGUUAAAACAAGCUAUGUGGGACAAACCACUAACUAAUAUCGCCCUAGCUUACCAGAACACUCAGGGUUCCUCAGUAUUAGCAUUAGCUGCUAAUUGCGCUAAGCGCUAGCUCUUUUGCUGUUUAGAGGUGAGUCUUUUCGGCCUGUAGACUGCUGCUAACCCAGCUAUCACUGCUGGAGCAGCAUUAGCAUUAGCCGCUAGCCGCGGUAAGCAUUAGUUAGCUCUUUCGCCGUUCAGAGGUGAGUAUAUCGAACUGUAGCCUUCCAGUUUACAGUGUUAAAACAAGCUAAUGUGGGACAGACCGAUAGCUAAUAUCGCUCUAGCUUACCAGAACAUUUAGGGUUCCUUAGUGUUCCGGUAAGCUAGGGAGAUAUUAAAUAAACGGAAGCGCUUUACUCACCCAAAUAAACUACAGUUUAGUUCUCCAGCACCGAGACUGGAGUAGUAUUAGCAUUAGCUGCUAACCGUGCUAAGCGGUACUUUUGCUGAGUAUUAUCGGGCCUGUAGACUGCUGCUAACCCAGCUAGUACUGCUGGAGCAGCAUUAGCAUUAGCCACUUACCGUGCUAAGCACUAGUU